RNAcentral lists this unclassified non-coding RNA (335 nucleotides) under soil metagenome. RNAcentral's name for it is "partial contains 5.8S ribosomal RNA, internal transcribed spacer 2, and large subunit ribosomal RNA". The stretch from base 1 to 120 matches the Rfam family "5.8S ribosomal RNA", at positions 35 to 154 of the family's 154-position model. The record is from RNAcentral.
GAUGAAGAACGUAGCGAAAUGCGAUAAGUAAUGUGAAUUGCAGAAUUCAGUGAAUCAUCGAAUCUUUGAACGCACAUUGCGCCCGCCAGUAUUCUGGCGGGCAUGCCUGUUCGAGCGUCAUUUCAACCAUCAAGCCCCAGGCUUGUGUUGGGGACCUGCGGCUGCCGCAGGCCCUGAAAACCAGUGGCGGGCUCGCUGUCACACCGGGCGUAGUAGAUUUUAUCUCGCUCAGGGCGUGCUGCGGGUUCCGGCCGUUAAAAAGCCUUUUUACCCAAGGUUGACCUCGGAUCAGGUAGGAAGACCCGCUGAACUUAAGCAUAUCAAUAAGCGGAGGA